RNAcentral lists this ribosomal RNA (468 nucleotides) under uncultured bacterium. Its description in RNAcentral is "partial 16S ribosomal RNA". It matches the Rfam family "Bacterial small subunit ribosomal RNA", at positions 28 to 507 of the family's 1533-position model. The record is from RNAcentral.
GAUGAACGCUGGCGGCGUGCUUAACACAUGCAAGUCGAACGGAAAGGCCCUGCUUUUGUGGGGUGCUCGAGUGGCGAACGGGUGAGUAGCACGUGAGUAACCUGCCUUUGACUUUGGGAUAACUUCAGGAAACUGGGGAUAAUACCGGAUAGGAGCUCCAGAUGCAUGGUGGGGGUUGGAAAGUUUCGGCGGUAGGGGAUGGACUCGCGGCUGAUCAGCAUGUUGGUGGGGUAGUGGCUUACCAAGGCUUUGACGGGUAGCCGGCCUGAGAGGGUGACCGGCCACAGUGGGACUGAGAUACGGCCCGGACUCCUACGGGAGGCAGCAGUGGGGAAUAUUGCACGAUGGGCGGAAGCCUGAUGCAGCAACGCCGCGUGCGGGAUGACGGCCUUCGGUUAGUAGGCCGCUUUCGCCUGUGACGAAGCGUGAGUGACGGUAAUGGGUAAAGAAGCACCGGCUAACUACGUG